This 163-nucleotide signal recognition particle RNA is filed under the name Bacillota bacterium. RNAcentral describes it as "Firmicutes bacterium (gut metagenome) signal recognition particle sRNA large type". The stretch from base 38 to 136 matches the Rfam family "Bacterial small signal recognition particle RNA". From Rfam's summary of the family: The signal recognition particle (SRP) is a universally conserved ribonucleoprotein involved in the co-translational targeting of proteins to membranes. Archaeal SRP consists of a 7S RNA and homologues of the eukaryotic SRP19 and SRP54 proteins. In most bacteria, the SRP consists of a 4.5S RNA and the Ffh protein (a homologue of the eukaryotic SRP54 protein). The record is from RNAcentral. Lineage: Bacteria; Bacillati; Bacillota.
AUAAUAAUAAUUACACCGGGUGUGCGCAUUGUACCUGUAUCGGGUUCUGCGCGAUAAGGUACUGCGAACCAUGUCAGAUUCGGAAGAAAGCAGCAUUAAGCAGUCCACCUUAUGCGCCGCAGUAAGGCCGGAUACAGGUACAAUGCGCACACCCGGCUAUUAU